ACUAAUAUCAGCCCUAUUACCCACUAACUCAAUUAUUUAACAUCUCAUACAAAACAUUUGACCCUUUUAGUAUAGGUGAUAGAAAAAAAAAUAUAGGCGCCGUAACGAAAGUCCCGUAAGGGAAAAUUGAAAGACAAAUUCAAAGUAACCAACAGCAAAGAUUAAACCUUGUACCUUUUGCAUAAUGGUCUAGCUAGUUUACCCGGACAAAAAGAAUUUUAGCCCGUCCCCCCGAAAUCAAGUGAGCUACUAUAGAACAGCAUAUUAGAGCCAACUCAUCUAUGUAGCAAAAUAGUGAGAAGAUUUUAUAGUAGUGGUGAAAGGCCAACCGAACUUGAAAAUAGCUGGUUAUCCAAUAAACGAAUAUCAGUUCAACUUUAAAUUUAACUAGAUGUCUAAAAACAAUAAUUUAAAUUUAAAAGUAAAUCAAAAGAGGGACAGCUCUUUUGAUCAUGCAUACAAGCAUCACUAGAGGACAAUGAAAACCCCAAUACAUUGUAGGCUUAAAAGCAGCCAUCAAUUAAGAAAGCGUUAAAGCUCAAAACCUAUCUCCCAAUUAAUUCCUAAAAUUCCACAAAAUCCCUAGUCUCUGAUUGGAUGAUUCUAUUUACUCAUAGAAGUCACAAUGCUACAAUUAGUAACAAGAAGUCUCUUCUCCUUGCAUAAGCCUAAAUUAGAAACGGAAAAUCCACUAACAUUUAACAAUAGAAUAAGUACAAUUAUCAAACUAGAAAACUUAUUAAAACAAUUGUUAACCCAACACAGGUAUGCAUAAAGGAAAGAUUAAUAAGAAUAAAAGGAACUCGGCAAACACUAACCCCGCCUGUUUACCAAAAACAUCACCUCUAGCGUACUAAGUAUUAGAGGCAACGCCUGCCCAGUGAAAAUUUUCAACGGCCGCGGUAUCCUGACCGUGCAAAGGUAGCAUAAUCACUUGUCCCUUAAAUGGAGACUUGUAUGAAUGGCAUCACGAGGGUUCAACUGUCUCUUAUUCUUAAUCAGUGAAAUUGACCUUCCCGUGCAGAGGCGGGAAUACCCCUACAAGACGAGAAGACCCUGUGGAGCUUAAGAAUAAUAGACUACCGCUUAAUUACCUAAAACCCCCAUAAGGAACAAACCUUAAAGCACUUAGUCUGCAAUCUUUGGUUGGGGUGACCUCGGAGCAUAAAUAAACCUCCGAAUGAUUUAACCUAGAUCAACUAAUCCAAGUGUGAAUAACCAGUAAUUGACCCAAAUAUUGAUCAACGGACCAAGUUACCCCAGGGAUAACAGCGCAAUCCUAUUUUAGAGCCCAUAUCGACAAUAGGGUUUACGACCUCGAUGUUGGAUCAGGACAUCCAAAUGGUGCAACCGCUAUUAAUGGUUCGUUUGUUCAACGAUUAAAGUCCUACGUGAUCUGAGUUCAGACCGGAGAAAUCCAGGUCGGUUUCUAUCUGUAUAUUCAUUUCUCCUAGUACGAAAGGACAAGAGAAAUAAGGCCAACAUACUAUAUGAGCCUUAGUAAUAAGAUAUGAAAGCAUCUUAAUAUCUUAGUGCAAUAACUUAACGCCCUAGAAAAGAGC
RNAcentral lists this ribosomal RNA (1562 nucleotides) under Tarsipes rostratus (honey possum). RNAcentral's name for it is "16S ribosomal RNA". It matches the Rfam family "Bacterial large subunit ribosomal RNA". The record is from RNAcentral. Lineage: Eukaryota; Metazoa; Chordata; Mammalia; Diprotodontia; Tarsipedidae.